AGAGCUAACUGGAAAUGUUAAGAAUUUGUUUUGCCAACAUUCGCAACAGUUUUAAAUUAUGUUCAUUUUCCCAAAAUGUUAAUAUAUGUAGGUGUAUCUGCACUGUAUUCAUUACUCAAAUAGUUGUCAAAUAGUGGCCACGCGUGCCACGACGAAAACACGGGCCCAUGCCCACCUCUAAUACAGCCUAAUUCAGGAGCUAUGCGCAUGCUGGAACAGCGCAUUCAAAAUGGUCGAGCGCAUACUCUUAACCAAAGAGUUCAUUUCUCCAGUUCUGCUUAGCUUAUCCAAGGCGCCGGAGCCGUUGGCAGCAAAUGAUGUUUCAAGACGUUUUGGCUCCGUUUGAUGAAGAAAUCAAACAAUUGUCUUCGAGUUCAAAACCAAGGAACCCACUAUAACUCCGGAACCACCCCCCAAAGCAAAAUCUUCGCUUUUUAAUUUCGUUAAACAAAAUAUCGAGCUGAGAAAAAGGUCAAAUAAAGUCGAGUCCAUUAUACAGCUUAGGCAGUACUUCGAAAAGAUGAACAUAGACGAAAUUCAUGACCCAUUGGAAUAUUGGGAG
Drosophila ananassae is the source of this 562-nucleotide long non-coding RNA. RefSeq lists it as uncharacterized. The transcript has 2 exons. The record is from RefSeq and is a predicted model, not a curated record. Lineage: Eukaryota; Metazoa; Arthropoda; Insecta; Diptera; Drosophilidae.